RNAcentral lists this ribosomal RNA (465 nucleotides) under uncultured Klebsiella sp. RNAcentral's name for it is "bacterial SSU rRNA". It matches the Rfam family "Bacterial small subunit ribosomal RNA", at positions 338 to 795 of the family's 1533-position model. The record is from RNAcentral. Lineage: Bacteria; Pseudomonadati; Pseudomonadota; Gammaproteobacteria; Enterobacterales; Enterobacteriaceae.
CCUACGGGCGGCUGCAGUGGGGAAUAUUGCACAAUGGGCGCAAGCCUGAUGCAGCCAUGCCGCGUGUGUGAAGAAGGCCUUCGGGUUGUAAAGCACUUUCAGCGGGGAGGAAGGCGGUGUGGUUAAUAACCUCAUCGAUUGACGUUACCCGCAGAAGAAGCACCGGCUAACUCCGUGCCAGCAGCCGCGGUAAUACGGAGGGUACAAGCGUUAAUCGGAAUUACUGGGCGUAAAGCGCACGCAGGCGGUCUGUCAAGUCGGAUGUGAAAUCCCCGGGCUCAACCUGGGAACUGCAUUCGAAACUGGCAGGCUAGAGUCUUGUAGAGGGGGGUAGAAUUCCAGGUGUAGCGGUGAAAUGCGUAGAGAUCUGGAGGAAUACCGGUGGCGAAGGCGGCCCCCUGGACAAAGACUGACGCUCAGGUGCGAAAGCGUGGGGAGCAAACAGGAGUAGAUACCCCUGUAGUC